UUGAAGGAUGAUAGGAUCAGCCUUAUCUGAAUAUCAUUAUANCUCUCAUAGGAUGAGCUCGNGNGUGCAUUUCUUAACGGAGCGUUAGGAGGCUUUCCCCGCCUUAAGAAAUNCCCCCCGUCCAAAAGCGGGGCGCACUAAUUACCCCAUCCCGAGGCGAGGAGGGUGACAAUAAAUACUGAUACAGGGCUCUUUUGGGUCUUGUAAUUGGAAUGAGUACAAUUUAAAUCCCUUAACGAGGAACAAUUGGAGGGCAAGUCUGGUGCCAGCAGCCGCGGUAAUUCCAGCUCCAAUAGCGUAUAUUAAAGUUGUUGUGGUUAAAAAAGCUCGUAGUUGAACCUUGGGCCUGGGCUGGGCCGGUCCGCCUCACCGCGUGUACUGGGUCCGGGCCGGGGGCCUUUCCCCUCUGUGGGAAACCCCCAUGCCCUUCACUGGGGUGUGGGGCGGGGGAAAACAGGGAACUUUUUUACUGGUGAAAAAAAAUUUAAGAAGNUGCUUCCCAGGGCAGGCCCUUAUGCCUCCGAAAUACCUUUUAGCCUUGGGAAUAAUUGAAAUUAGGGACCGUGGGGGGNUCCAAUUUUUGUUUGGGGUUUUCCAAGGGAACCGCCCCGUUAAAAGGAUUUAAUAAGGGGGACNAGGUCCGGGGGGGGCAUUCAAUNUANUUCCNANUUUUGUUCAAAAANGGUGGAAAAAUUCCNUUGGGGAUUUUUUUUNGAAAAAC
Molecule: ribosomal RNA, 721 nt
Filed under: Fusarium sp. ASR-4
Lineage: Eukaryota; Fungi; Ascomycota; Sordariomycetes; Hypocreales; Nectriaceae
Description: partial 18S ribosomal RNA
Rfam family: Eukaryotic small subunit ribosomal RNA
Source: RNAcentral